AACGUAGGUGGCGGGCGUUAUCCGGAAUUACUGGGCGUAAAGCGUGUGCAGGCGGGCUAGCAAGUGGUGUUUGAAAGCUCCCGGCUCAACCGGGAAGGGUUAUGCCAGACUGCUAGUCUUGAGUGCGAGAGAGGAGCGUGGAAUUCCGGGUGUAGUGGUGAAAUGCGUAGAGAUCCGGAGGAACCCCAGAGGCGAAGGCGGCGCUCUGGCUCGCAACUGACGCUCAGACACGACAGCAUGGGGAGCGAACGGG
This 253-nucleotide ribosomal RNA is filed under the name uncultured bacterium. RNAcentral's name for it is "partial 16S ribosomal RNA". It matches the Rfam family "Bacterial small subunit ribosomal RNA", at positions 524 to 776 of the family's 1533-position model. The record is from RNAcentral.